This 3102-nucleotide ribosomal RNA is filed under the name Nanchangia anserum. RNAcentral's name for it is "Winkia sp. C64 23S ribosomal RNA". It matches the Rfam family "Bacterial large subunit ribosomal RNA". Lineage: Bacteria; Bacillati; Actinomycetota; Actinomycetes; Actinomycetales; Actinomycetaceae. The record is from RNAcentral.
GUGUUUGUUGGUAUGGGCGUUUGGUGGAUGCCUUGGUACCAGGUGCCGAUGAAGGACGUUGCGGCCGGCGAUAGCCCCGGGGAGUUGGCGAGUGAGUGUUGAUCCGGGGGUUUCCGAAUGGGGGAACCUAGCCCGAGUUGUGUCGGGUUGCCACAGGGUGAAUUGAUAGUCUUGUGGUGGGUGACGUAGGGAAGUGAAACAUCUUAGUACCUACAGGAAAAGAUAUUCCGUGAGUAGUGGCGAGCGAAAGCGGAUGAUGGCUAAACCGUGUGUGUGUGAUACUCGGCAGGGGUUGCAUGUGCGGUGUUGUGGGGUCUGCUUGUUGGUUGCUGCCGUGGCCAAGAUCCUAUCGGACGGUUGAGGUGAAACAGUUGGGAUGCUGUACCGGAGUGCGUGAGAGUCGUGUAGCUGGUUGAUCGUUUGGUGGGGUUUGAGUGGUGUCCCCGAGUAGCGCGGGGCUCGUGGAAUCUCGUGUGAAUCUGCCCAGACCACUGGGUAAGCCUGAAUACGUCCUGGUGACCGAUAGUGGAUUAGUACCGUGAGGGAAUGGUGAAAAGUACCCCGGGAGGGGAGUGAAAGAGUUCUUGAAACCAAGCGUCUGCAAGCCGUCAGAGCCUGCCUGUGUGGUGGGUGGUGGCGUGCCUUUUGAAGAAUGAGCCUGCGAGUUAUGAUGCGUGGCGAGGUUAACCCGUGUGGGGUAGUCGUAGCGAAAGCGAGUCUGGUAAGGGCGUGUAGUUGCGUGUUGUAGACCCGAAGCGGGGUGAUCUACCCAUGGCCAGGUUGAAGCGGUGGUAGUACAUCGUGGAGGACCGAACCCACCUAGGUUGAAAACUGGGGGGAUGAGUUGUGGGUAGGGGUGAAAGGCCAAUCAAACUCCGUGAUAGCUGGUUCUCCCCGAAAUGUAUUUAGGUACAGCGUCUCGUGUGCUUGCGUGAGGUAGAGCUACUGGUUGGCUGAUGGGCCGUGUUGGUUACUGACGUCAGCUAAACUCCGAAUGCGCGUUAAGUUGAGCGGGGCAGUGAGACUGCGGGGGAUAAGCUUCGUAGUCGAGAGGGAAACAGCCCUGAUCGCCGGUUAAGGUCCCUAAGAGUAUGCUGAGUGGGAAAGGAUGUGGAGUUGCUGUGACAGCCAGGAGGUUGGCUUAGAAGCAGCCAUCCUUGAAAGAGUGCGUAAUAGCUCACUGGUCAAGUGGUUCCGCGCCGAUAAUGUAGCGGGGCUUAAGCAUACCGCCGAAACCGCGGCUAUACACCUGUGUGGUGUGUGGGGUAGGGGAGCGUCCUGCGUGAGUUGAAGUCGCCGUGUGAGCGUGUGGUGGAUUGCGUGGGAGUGAGAAUGCAGGCAUGAGUAGCGAGUGACAGGUGAGAAUCCUGUCCGCCGAUAAACCAAGGGUUCCAGGGGCAGGUUUAUCCGCCCUGGGUUAGUCGGGUCCUAAGGCGAGGCCGUCAGGCGUAGUCGAUGGUUGACCAGUUGAUAUUCUGGUACCGGCUCAUAAUCGUCCAUGGCGCUCAUCAGUGUUGUCUCACCGACGCUACUGCCUGUCUGUGCCCUUUCGGGGGUGUGGGUUGUGUGGUGGUCUUGGUGGGGCAUGGGUGGGUUGUCAAGCGUGUUAACAGGGGUGACGCACAGUGGUAGCCUGGCGCGGCGGUGGUUGUCCGUGUUCAAGCCCGCAGCCUGUCUUCUAGGUAAAUCCGGGAGGCGUGAAGGGUGAGGGGUGAUGGUGGCCCACUUUUUUGUGGGGAUAACAGGGUGUGCCUGUGGUGCCUAGAAAAGCCUCGGCGUGAGAGUAUGAGCCGCCCGUACCCUAAACCGACUCUGGUGGUUGGGUAGAGUAUACCAAGGCGAGCGAGAGAAUCGUGGUUAAGGAACUCGGCAAAUUGCCUCCGUAACUUCGGGAGAAGGAGGCCCCAUGGCUUGAAGCCUGUUUACUAGGCUAGGGCUUGUGGGGGGCACAUGUUGGGGGGAAGCGACUGUUUAUCAAAAACACAGGUGCGUGCGAAGCCGUAAGGCGAUGUAUACGCACUGACGCCUGCCCGGUGCUGGAAGGUUAAGCGGAAGACUCAACCUCUUUGGGGGUGAAGGUUUGAAGUUAAGCCCCAGUAAACGGCGGUGGUAACUAUAACCAUCCUAAGGUAGCGAAAUUCCUUGUCGGGUAAGUUCCGACCUGCACGAAUGGCGUAACGACUUCCCUGCUGUCUUAACCGCGAACUCGGCGAAAUUGCAUUACGAGUAAAGAUGCUCGUUACGCGCAGCAGGACGGAAAGACCCCGGGACCUUUACUAUAGCUUGGUAUUGGUGUCUGGUUAUGUUUGUGUAGGAUAGGUGGGAGACUGUGAGGCCUUCACGCUAGUGGGGGUGGAGUCGGCAAGUGAAAUACCACUCUGAUGUAAUUGGUCAUCUCAACCUCGGCCCGUGAUCCGGGUCAGGGACAGUGCCUGGUGGGUAGUUUAACUGGGGCGGUUGCCUCCUAAAAGGUAACGGAGGCGCUCAAAGGUUCCCUCAGCCUGGUUGGUAAUCAGGUGUUGAGUGUAAGUGUAGAAGGGAGCUUGACUGUGAGACUGACGGGUCGAGCAGGUGCGAAAGCAGGAACUAGUGAUCCGGCCAUGGCUUGUGGAAGCGUGGUCGCUCAACGGAUAAAAGGUACCCCGGGGAUAACAGGCUGAUCUUGCCCAAGAGUCCAUAUCGACGGCAUGGUUUGGCACCUCGAUGUCGGCUCGUCGCAUCCUGGGGCUGGAGUUGGUCCCAAGGGUUGGGCUGUUCGCCCAUUAAAGCGGUACGCGAGCUGGGUUCAGAACGUCGUGAGACAGUUCGGUCCCUAUCCGCUGCGCGCGUUAAGAGACUUGAGGAGGGCUGUCCCUAGUACGAGAGGACCGGGACGGACGAACCUCUGGUGUGCCAGUUGUACCGCCAGGUGCAUGGCUGGUUGGCUACGUUCGGGAUGGAUAACCGCUGAAAGCAUCUAAGCGGGAAGCCGGCUCCAAGAUGAGGUCUCUAUACACUUUUGUGUGGGAGGGUCCCUAGAGAUGAUGGGGUUGAUAGGCCAGAUGUGGAAGCUGCGUGAGUGGUGGAGCUGACUGGUACUAAUUGCCUGAUGACAAACACGAC